AAAGGCAUAUUAAUGUAUUUCAUGAGCUUCUUCAGUAAAUCUGUAUUUCUAAGUCAGUAUCUCCCUUCAGAAAUGUUGCUGAAGGGAGAUACUGACUUAGAAAUACAGGUGAACUCAUGAAAAUAAGCUCAUGAAAUACUCAUGAAAGAAGCUCAUGAAAUACAUUAAUAUGCCUUUUUCAGAAUAUAUUUCACCAAUUUUAAGGAGUCCCUGACAUCAAAACAUGGCUUGUUUUGUUCCUGGACUCUUCAGUGAUGAUGAGCAGAGUCUGAGUCAACCUCCUGUCAGACAAUCACUAUUGCACACCAAAUGCUCUUACUCAGCAGAUGGGGACAGCUACCAUCACCCAAUUUUCACCCAAAAGUGGCUGCGCUAUUCGCCAGACCGGGCAGGAGGGACUGGACGACAACUUAUGCAGGCAUCAGAUGACAAUGAAGUGUAAAUAAAGAGUAGAGGCUAAUAAACAGGAAUUUGAUUUUAAAU
Molecule: long non-coding RNA, 483 nt
Organism: Carassius auratus (goldfish)
Lineage: Eukaryota; Metazoa; Chordata; Actinopteri; Cypriniformes; Cyprinidae
Exons: 4
Source: RefSeq, a predicted model, not a curated record